Dunckerocampus dactyliophorus (ringed pipefish) is the source of this 5926-nucleotide long non-coding RNA. RefSeq lists it as uncharacterized. NCBI's taxonomy places the organism in Eukaryota, Metazoa, Chordata, Actinopteri, Syngnathiformes, Syngnathidae. The transcript has 3 exons. The record is from RefSeq and is a predicted model, not a curated record.
CAACAGAAAUGUAAAAACAGCAGUAAUGUUUUCAGAAUAAAGUGAAAAUACUCAGAGAUGAAAGUCGCAAUUUUAUGACAAUAACUUGCAAUAUUAGGAGGGAAAAUGCCAUUUUAGUAGCAUAGAGUUGAAAUAUUAAAGAAAAAUGUUACUUUUUAAAAGUCAUGAUAUUAUGACAAACUAAAAAAGAAAAUAUAAAUUCAUUGUCAAAUUCAUGUCAGUCAUUUUUGGAAAAUUAGUUUGGGGAAAAAGUUAUAAUAUGGGAAUAAAGUCAAAAUAUGAGAAUGAAGUCAUAUUAUAAGAAGAAAAUGUAUGAAGAUUAUGAGGCAACAGCAGCAGGAAUGGGGGGGAAAAGAGCAAAGAGUGAAUUUGAUUGUAGUAAUUUGCUUUUUCACCGAUAUCACACCGCUGAGAUGCACUGUUUUCUUGAAAUGUAUCGAACUUCUUAGCAUAACUGCACAAAAUAGCAAAGCUGCAUCCUUUCAUUUUUCUCUGUGUGGCCCUUGUUGGAAAAAGUUAUUUGAAUGGGACGGUGACAGAUAGCCUGUAAUGCUAAAAUAUUUAGCUGGUUGAUAAUUGUACUACAAAUUAUCGUAGAGAAAUGAUAAUAUCGACUUUUUUUAGACCAUUUUUUUCGUAAAUGUUUUCAUUAAUUUUUUAUUAAGUGUCAUGUCACAUUUGAACCCCUAGAUGGUGCUCAAGUAUAGUGUACUUUAGUACGUGUAGUGCAUGCGCCUGUACAGACUCAACCUGUCUCUGUUAAGAAACAAAAACAAAACACUCCAAUAAAACCUAGACACACACACACACACACACACACACAGUUAUGUAGUGUAUUGUCCAAUCAAUGUAGCGGAUCAUGUUUGUGCUGGACCACCGCUGAGUUGUGGCGCAAUAUGCAAUGUUGCUGAUAUGCCCUUCAACAUGUCUUCUUUUGCGCAGUUUUAUUGCUGUUUGUGACAUGUGCGUGUACGUUCUUCCAGGCAAUUUGUACUGUCUGUCAAACAUUUCCCCAAAUGUUGGCUUUUCAACCGUAUUGAAAGGUUGCAUUUCUUUUGCAAUGUAGCGAGCGACACUGUGAUUUUGCGCUGUUUUGUUUAAUAUUUGCUCCGCCCGUCAAACGCCUCAGUAAGCAUCGACUGUCUGGACGAAAGCUGUACUGCGCAUCCACACUGGAACCGUGGCAUUUGGCUUAGAAACUAUCGCUCUUGUGCCUUUAUUCGUAUUUGCGUCUGCUUGCUCAACGCUAACUGCUAGUACUCGGUGUAGCCAUUCACUACACAGGCCCCGCCUCCAUGUACUGGGACAAAGACGCUGAGUAGCCGACAGGAGGUUCACUCUCUCCGUUCAUGCCACUAUAGAACCAAUGUGCACGCACACAUGCAGAGAGAGAGAGAGGAGCCUCUUUGUUAAAGAUUCUCUUACGAUAUCAAAUACCAACGUAUGUACAUACUCUAUUUUAUUAUCUGAAGGGGAUCAAUCAUCCAAACAUCCUGUGAUUAUCUGUUUAUUCUGGAGAAGUGGAAAAGUACUGUGAGUGGACUGAGAGAAAACGGUUGAGAUAAAGAAGCACCUGGUCUGCGAGGCAUGACCAAGGCUGUCAGGACAGGACAGCUCCAGGCAAUUCAAGGACAAAAAGCACAUUCCGCAGUCACGCGCUAAGCAGCCGCUUCCUCAACGGUCCACUCCCGGAACUACCUGUGACUAAUAUCGAAACUUAACUUACCACGUCCAUCUAUGUGUUACCAUGCCCAUCUAUGUCAAUAAAAAGAAGCAGGAGAGUGUGGCACGGAUUCUCUCUCCUUGCGCAAGAAAAUCUCAAGCCUUCCAGUCUGGGUCAUUUUGUUAAUUCACAGGUUGGGGGCAAGUUCCCCUGACACUCUUGUCAUCCAGCCUGUGUUGCACAGAGAGAUGAGGAAAUGGAACAAUAUGCACAUGUCAAUUUAUGGAGGCGUCCAAAUUAUUGACCUCGCUCUUUUCUAUUGUUCGAUUCAUCGUUUUAUCCAUUAUGGUGACAAGCCUAGCGAAGGAAAAGAAGGGCAAAAUGGGAGGGUUGACAGAAGGGAUGAGAAAGCGAUGAAGCGUUUCUUUCGUCAUGCAUUUACUGUGUAAUCAACUAGCGCUCACGAGAGGCUUGUCGCCGGAGCACACCUCCUCAACCCGGUGUGCGUGCACCGCCGUUGAAGCCUGCAUCCAGGCUUUGCCUUUAGCGGGGGGGUCUCAAACUCAGUUUACCCGGGGGCCACUGGAGGUAGUCUGGGUGAGGCUGGGCCUCAGCAAGUAUUGGGAAUAAGGCUCACGAUAACGAUCAUAUCUAUAACGAUAUCGCGUAUGCUGCAGGAAACACGUCCAACAUGUUAGCUCACUUAAAGCGGCAUCAUUCGGCAGUGAACGUUACAGCUACAAGAAUACCUUAGUUAGCUUAGUGCUAACACCGAUAACGUCGGCAUAUAAACAACCUCUAGCAAACAAAUCUGACCGGGCCAAAGCAGUAACACGUGGUAUUGGAGUUUGUAUAGCCACGAGAUUACGACCACGUUCAGUUGUUGAGAGCGCUGGCUUUAAGGACAGUCAUGGAACAAAUGAUUAGACCACCCUCGUUUCUCCAGUUUCAUUUUCAUUUUAAUGCCUGAUACAACUACAGGUACCUUUGUUUGGACAAAUAUAACAAUAACAACAAAAAAUAGCUCAUAACCGUUUGAUUUUUUGGCAGUACAAUGCUGUAGCUAUUCAUGUUAGCAAUUUGGUUAUUAUCAAGAAAAGCAUGGAAGUUGCUGGAUAUCAGCUCUUAAAUUAAACUCUUAUGAGUUAUAUUUGUUAUCAUCAUAUUUGUCCAAACAAAUGUACCUUUAGUUGUACCAGGCAUUACAAUGGAUCAAUAAACUGAGGAAACAAGGCUGGUCUAAUCAUUUUUUCCAUGACUGUACAUGAUUACAGUUCUUGUACCUCGCUACAAAAUACCAUCACGUCCUCACUUUAGCCAGAAAGUUAUACCAGCACUUUAUGAAAAAGCUAAUUAAUUGUCCAUAGGUAUGAAUGAGAGUGUGAAUGGUUGUCUGUCUAAAUGUGCCCUGCCAUUGGCUGGCGACCAGUCCAGGGUGUACCCCGCCUGUCGCCCCAAGUCAGCUGGGAUGGGCUCCAGCAUGCCCCAGCUACCCUAUUGAGGAUAAGCGGUAUAGAAAAUGGAUGGAUGGACAGAUGGUUGGACUUCACGUGCAACAGACAGAUUUAACUAACUGUCCAUUACAUUUCACUAAGUCUAAUGGGUCGCUUUUAUUUAUUUUAAAAAAUGUGUUUGCAUUUUUUAAAUAAAAGCACUUUAAGACAUUUUUUCUGCCUUUUUUUGUGCCGAAAAUGACCCACUUCAAGAAACUGAACCGAACCAAAAUGACAUAUUAGUGUACCGUUCCACCCCUAGUAUUUACUUACCUGUUACAUGAUGUGCUGUCAUUUCGUGUGUGUGCGUUAGCACCACGAUUGUAGGCAGUGUUCUGUUUCGUGACCCCCAUUUCGCCAUGUGACUCUUAGUUCCGUGGUAGGUUAUGCUUUCACCCUGUGAGCAUCAUUGGCUUAACUUAGAGCUUGCGGGCCGCAUUUACAGUAGUCCUUCCUGUCAAGUCACGGGCCGCAAAAUCUGACUUGGCGGGCCGCAAAUGGCCCGCGGGCCGCGAGUUUGAGACCACUGGUCUAGGAGUUUGUCGUUGGCAGAAAAUGCACCGCCGCUGGAUUCACCAAACGUGGAGUUCCUCGAGCCACGCUUUGCCAUGCCCAGUUGCGAGUAUUUCUCAGAUGUUUGCUUACUGUUGUACAGUGUUGUUUACAGCCACGUCGAGAAGCUAAUUGCUGAUGGUGUAACCAUUAGCUUCACAACAGAUAUGUGUUAAUUCCACCACAGGAGAUAUGUGACGUUACACAUAUCGGUAUCGUUUGAUAUCGUAAUCGAAAAUUGAAGGUUGGACAAUAUUGGCAUAUCGGAUGUUGGCAAAAAAAAAAGCUAGUUAUUUUUCUUCAUAAUGUAGCGUUAUUCUCGUAAGACGUUUUCUGGUUGGAUUAUUACUUUUUUCUCUUAAAAUUAUGACUUUAUUCUCGGAAAAUUGUUUUUGUUUUUUUUGUUUUUCAUUUUCCAACAAUUUCAACUUUUUUUCAUGUAAAGUUUUCCAAAAAUGACAACUUUGUUUUGUUUAUUUUUCAUAAUAUUACAACUUAAAAUGAUGUUAUUUUUCUUCAUAAUGUAAUAACGUUAUUCCCGUACAACUUUUACUGUUGGAUUAGAACUUUUUUCUAUGAAUAUUAUGACCUCAUUCUUGGAAAAUUACAGCCGAUUUUUCCAUUUUGUUUGUUCUCAUAAUAUCACGACUUUAAAAAAAUGUUUUUAAUAUUCAAAUUAAAGCGACCAAAAGUAUGUUAUUUUUCCUUUUAAUAUUAGGAUGUUAUUGUCAUAAAAUAUUGGCUUUUUCGUGUUAGUUCGCAACUUCUUAUUAGAAUAUUUUGGCUUUAUUCUUGUAGAAUGACUGCAGAUUUUUUCAUUUUUGCUGUUUUGUAGUAUUCUUGUUAUAGUCAAUUUUUUAGAAUGUGCCAUGGGCCCGAAAUGGACCCCGGGGCGCACCUUGGACACCCCAGCAAUACGCUUUGCACCGGGAGAAGACUUGCUUGUAUAUUGCAUUUGUACGUUCAUGCUUUUGGAGUUGUAUUUUGUGAAAUAAACGUUUUUUUGGUGAAGUGCAUGCAAGUGGCCCAAUCAUUUUCUCCACAAAUAGCCAGUAUAGUUUUUAAAAGUAAAAAUUCUGAAGACGUACCUGGAAUGAUGUGAUUCAUGAAUGACAACAUUACGCUAUGUUUGUCAUCCAGAAAGUGUAACAUGCCCCCAGCGCCGAUGCGGUGUUCUUAACGGUGACAAACGCUACAAAAAAUGCAGCAGUGAGUAUUGCUGACAGCUUUAAUGACAAUAGCGCAUAAACAGGAAGAAGCAGACGACGUGGUUGGCAUCUCAGCGAGCCCAUCCGUCUUAGAGGCACGUGGCCGUUUCCUUGGAGGGGCACAUUUGGCCGAAGCAGAUCUCCUUGAAGCCGGUCGCCUUGGUCAUCCCGCUGGCUGUAUGGUUGUAGAGGAGGCAGUAGUCGUUGGGGCUGCUGGCGGUGGUGUUGACUGAGGAGCUGCUAGACGCCUGCCAGGGAAGGACACAAGGAUGGAGGGUUUUCAUGUACGUCCACAAGAACUUUGGGGAGGACGGUGGGCUGAACUGGAAGGUGAUUUGGUUGGUUUUGUUGGUGUUGGGCGACGUGUGCGUCAUCUGGAGGACGGAGGGCGAGUACUUCACAAACUAAACAACACAACAACACAACUUGUCACACAACAACUUUCUUGCACUCCCUUGGAGCACAUUGUCACGUAUCACUAACUGUAACUAAAUGUGUUUAUUAUUUUGUAUUUUUAAUCUUGCAGACAGAAAUACAUUUGCAUACUGUGAUCAACUUUGUAUUUUUUAAGUAUUGUUAUACUUUGAAUGUUGAUGAACUGUUUAUAUUUAUUACUAUUUCUGUAUAGUUACAUUUUUGGUAUUAUAAUUAUUUACAGAGUGCACAGAAUGAUAUAAUUUUCUACACAGGGUAAAUUUAGUUGCUGAAACACAUGUUACACCUUAAGAUUGUGACCUUUAGUUGCAAUAUUCUAAAUAAUUCCAUUGCAGGGCUUAAGUAAGUAGAAGUGGGUUUUUUUGUUUCAAAAAAAGGUAGGAAUAAAGGACCAAAUAGUGUCAACUGGGCUUUGACAAUAUAUACUGAAUUUAACAAGUACGUAUUAAAUAUCCAUAUUCCCCAUGCAUUAUUUUUUUCAACAUAUUUUUCAUAUUUUGCACAAAUUGGCAUCUUUGACAUAUUUUUUUUGGUCCACAUGAAUUACAAAAUGGAAUCAUUUAUGAAGUUGUCCA